Molecule: ribosomal RNA, 253 nt
Filed under: uncultured bacterium
Lineage: Bacteria
Description: partial 16S ribosomal RNA
Rfam family: Bacterial small subunit ribosomal RNA
Source: RNAcentral
UACGAAGGUGGCGAGCGUUGCUCGGAUUUACUGGGCGUAAAGCGAGCGCAGGUGGUUGAACAAGUCAGAGGUGAAAUCCCGCCGCUUAACGGCGGAACUGCCUUUGAAACUGUUUGACUUGAGUGGUUGAGGGGAAAGAGGAAUGCCCAGUGUAGAGGUGAAAUUCGUAGAUAUUGGGCGGAACACCGACGGCGAAAGCAUCUUUCUGGCAACAUACUGACACUCAGGCUCGACAGCGUGGGGAGCAAACAGG